GAUUUUAUAGGGGGAGCUGGAGCAGACGUGACAAUUUCAUUAUUCAAAACAAAGCAUUUACCUAUUUUCUGUCCAAAAGAAACGUUAGUGUUUUAAAGCUGUUUUUGAUGUACUCAAUACAGCAUUCCAAGAGUAUGGUGACGCAGGUCAAGUCCAAUCCUACCUUACUGGCACAUAGGAUGGCCAAUGUCAGACCCAGACGACAGGACAGACGCCCAGUUGACAGCACCAUCCCCAAGUCCAGGCUGAUUACCUGGGACCCCUCGGAGGACUUUGUGAAGACCAGCCACAUGGUCAACACACCUGUACAGACCAUACACAUCAUGGGGAACCUGGGACCAGCAGGCAAACUUGUCCAAAAGGAGAAGGAAUGCUUGUCUGCACGAUAAGAGCAGAUGGAAAUGGAGUGGUUACCAUCACACCAGACUUCAACAAAGGCAAGGAGCACUACAGGCCAGUGACCCGCACCCGCUGAAGUCAAAAUAUUUUACCCCUAGCUCAAGUUGAGACGGAGGGGGAGAAGAGGGAGGUGUGGCGUCAGACCAGAGGAGACAGAACAGCA
This is a long non-coding RNA of Oncorhynchus tshawytscha (Chinook salmon), 562 nucleotides long. RefSeq lists it as uncharacterized. Lineage: Eukaryota; Metazoa; Chordata; Actinopteri; Salmoniformes; Salmonidae. The transcript has 4 exons. The record is from RefSeq and is a predicted model, not a curated record.